Molecule: long non-coding RNA, 485 nt
Organism: Corticium candelabrum
Lineage: Eukaryota; Metazoa; Porifera; Homoscleromorpha; Homosclerophorida; Plakinidae
Exons: 3
Source: RefSeq, a predicted model, not a curated record
CAGCAUGAUAGACAUUAAGGAUUUAUUGAAAUGUUAUGAUGUUGUUUUGAUAAAUAUUUGUGUGAUUAGAAUAAUAAGUUUGUGUUUAUUAUUGUGUGAUGUGACACAAUGAGAGUGACUGUUUAAUUUAACUAAGUGGUGUUUUGUUUCUUUCUCUAAUAGUCUGGGGUGAGUGUGACAAUUGAGAUGUUCAUGUUCUCUGAUCUCACAAUGUUUUUGUCAUUUUCUUGUCUGUCAUUUUUCAUCAUUUUUAUUGGAUGGACGUGAUCAGAGAAGGGUGAGUGUGACCAUUGAGAUGUUCAUUUUCUGUGAUCUCACAAUAUUUUUUGUCAUUAUCUUGUUUGUCGUUUUUCAUCACAUUCAUUGGAUGGACAUGAUCAGUCUGGGGUGAGUGUGACAAUUGAGAUGUUCAUGUUCUCUGAUGUCACAAUGUUUUUGUCAUUUUCUUGUCUGUCAUUUUUCAUCAUUUUUAAUGGAUGGACAUG